GAUGAACGCUGGCGGCGUGCCUAAUACAUGCAAGUCGAGCGAACGGACGAGAAGCUUGCUUCUCUGAUGUUAGCGGCGGACGGGUGAGUAACACGUGGAUAACCUACCUAUAAGACUGGGAUAACUUCGGGAAACCGGAGCUAAUACCGGAUAAUAUUUUGAACCGCAUGGUUCAAAAGUGAAAGACGGUCUUGCUGUCACUUAUAGAUGGAUCCGCGCUGCAUUAGCUAGUUGGUAAGGUAACGGCUUACCAAGGCAACGAUGCAUAGCCGACCUGAGAGGGUGAUCAGCCACACUGGAACUGAGACACGGUCCCGACUCCUACGGGAGGCAGCGGUAGGGAAUCUUCCGCAAUGAGCGAAAGCCUGACGGAGCACCGCCGCGUGAGUGAUGAAGGUCUUCGGAUCGUAAAACGCUGUUAUUAGGGAAGUACAUAUGUGUAAGUAACUGUGCACAUCUUGACGGUACCUAAUCAGAAAGCCACGGCUAACUACGUG
This 497-nucleotide ribosomal RNA is filed under the name uncultured bacterium. RNAcentral's name for it is "partial 16S ribosomal RNA". It matches the Rfam family "Bacterial small subunit ribosomal RNA", at positions 28 to 507 of the family's 1533-position model. The record is from RNAcentral.